GAUGAACGCUGGCGGCGUGCCUAAUACAUGCAAGUCGAGCGAACGGACGAGAAGCUUGCUUUUCUGAUGUUAGCGGCGGACGGGUGAGUAACACGUGGAUAACCUACCUAUAUGACUGGGAUAACUUCGGGAAACCGGAGCUAAUACCGGAUAAUCUUUUGAACCGCAUGGUUCAAAAGUGAAAGACGGUCUUGCUGUCACUUAUAGAUGGAUCCGCGCUGCAUUAGCUAGUUGGUAAGGUAACGGCUUACCAAGGCAACGAUGCAUAGCCGACCUGAGAGGGUGAUCGGCCACACUGGAACUGAGACACGGUCCAGACUCCUACGGGAGGCAGCAGUAGGGAAUCUUCCGCAAUGGGCGAAAGCCUGACGGAGCAACGCCGCGUGAGUGAUGAAGGUCUUCGGAUCGUAAAACUCUGUUAUUAGGGAAGAACAUAUGUGUAAGUAACUGUGCACAUCUUGACGGUACCUAAUCAGAAAGCCACGGCUAACUACGUG
Molecule: ribosomal RNA, 497 nt
Filed under: uncultured bacterium
Lineage: Bacteria
Description: partial 16S ribosomal RNA
Rfam family: Bacterial small subunit ribosomal RNA
Source: RNAcentral